CUUGAUGAAUCGAGCAUUUAUUUUGAAACAAGUAAGUCUUUAAAAACAAAAUUUCUUAAAAUAGCUUAGAUUCCUGGCACGACUAUAGAAAUAAAAUUAGGUUGAUUGCCAAACUACCCAGGGACUCGGCAGGCCCGAGAUUGUGUGGCAGUCCAGUUCCUGAGAACAACUCCCUUCUCCAUAGUCUGAAUAGUGAGGUGUUCUUCUUCCUCCUCCUCAUUUAUUGAUCUACAAUCUAUGUCUUCUUCCUCCUGAAACAGAUUCCUCAACCCAGCUAAUGCUUUUUCUUCUGCAGUUCCCCAUAUUGUAUCAGCUUGGUGAAAAUUUUGACCUAGAUGUGGC
This 342-nucleotide long non-coding RNA is filed under the name Nicotiana benthamiana. RNAcentral's name for it is "long non-coding RNA (NBEN_LNC039643)". Lineage: Eukaryota; Viridiplantae; Streptophyta; Magnoliopsida; Solanales; Solanaceae. The record is from RNAcentral.